GAUGAACGCUGGCGGCGUGCCUAAUACAUGCAAGUCGAGCGAACAGACGAGGAGUUUGCUCCUUUGACGUUAGCGGCGGACGGGUGAGUAACACGUGGGUAACCUACCUAUAAGACUGGGAUAACUUCGGGAAACCGGAGCUAAUACCGGAUAAUAUUUCGAACCGCAUGGUUCGAUAGUGAAAGAUGGCUUUGCUUUCACUUAUAGAUGGACCUGCGCCGUAUUAGCUAGUUGGUAAGGUAACGGCUUACCAAGGCAACGAUACGUAGCCGACCUGAGAGGGUGAUCGGCCACACUGGAACUGAGACACGGUCCAGACUCCUACGGGAGGCAGCAGUAGGGAAUCUUCCGCAAUGGGCGAAAGCCUGACGGAGCAACGCCGCGUGAGUGAUGAAGGUCUUCGGAUCGUAAAACUCUGUUAUUAGGGAAGAACAAACGUGUAAGUAACUGUGCACGUCUUGACGGUACCUAAUCAGAAAGCCACGGCUAACUACGUG
This 497-nucleotide ribosomal RNA is filed under the name uncultured bacterium. RNAcentral describes it as "partial 16S ribosomal RNA". It matches the Rfam family "Bacterial small subunit ribosomal RNA", at positions 28 to 507 of the family's 1533-position model. The record is from RNAcentral.